RNAcentral lists this ribosomal RNA (854 nucleotides) under uncultured bacterium. RNAcentral's name for it is "bacterial SSU rRNA". It matches the Rfam family "Bacterial small subunit ribosomal RNA", at positions 651 to 1504 of the family's 1533-position model. The record is from RNAcentral.
GUAGGGGCAGAGGGAAUUCCCGGUGUAGCGGUGAAAUGCGUAGAUAUCGGGAAGAACACCAGUGGCGAAGGCGCUCUGCUGGGCCAUCACUGACGCUCAUGGACGAAAGCCAGGGGAGCGAAAGGGAUUAGAUACCCCUGUAGUCCUGGCCGUAAACGAUGAACACUAGGUGUCGGGGGAAUCGACCCCCUCGGUGUCGUAGCCAACGCGUUAAGUGUUCCGCCUGGGGAGUACGCACGCAAGUGUGAAACUCAAAGGAAUUGACGGGGGCCCGCACAAGCGGUGGAGUAUGUGGUUUAAUUCGAUGCAACGCGAAGAACCUUACCAGGGUUUGACAUCCUGCGAAUCUCUUGGAAACGAGAGAGUGCCUUCGGGAACGCAGUGACAGGUGGUGCAUGGCUGUCGUCAGCUCGUGUCGUGAGAUGUUGGGUUAAGUCCCGCAACGAGCGCAACCCACGUCUUUAGUUGCCAGCAUUUAGUUGGGCACUCUAGAGAGACCGCCGGUGAUAAACCGGAGGAAGGUGUGGAUGACGUCAAGUCAUCAUGCCCCUUACAUCCUGGGCUACACACGUACUACAAUGCUACGGACAAAGGGCAGCAAGUUCGCGAGGACAAGCAAAUCCCAUAAACCGUGGCUCAGUUCAGAUCGUAGGCUGCAACUCGCCUACGUGAAGGAGGAAUCGCUAGUAAUCGCAGGUCAGCAUACUGCGGUGAAUACGUUCCCGGGCCUUGUACACACCGCCCGUCACACCAUGGAAGUUGGCCACGCCCGAAGCCGUUACUCCAACCCUUGUGGAGGAGGACGUCGAAGGUGGGGCUGAUGACUGGGGUGAAGUCGUAACAAGGUAGCCGUA